AAGACCUUGCACUUUUGGAGCGGCCGAUGUCUGAUUAGCUAGUUGGUGGGGUAAUGGCCUACCAAAGCUUCGAUCAGUAGCUGGUCUGAGAGGACGGCCAGCCACACUGGGACUGAGACACGGCCCAGACUCCUACGGGAGGCAGCAGUGGGGAAUUUUGGACAAUGGGCGCAAGCCUGAUCCAGCCAUGCCGCGUGAGUGAAGAAGGCCUUCGGGUUGUAAAGCUCUUUCAGCCGGGAAGAAAAGGUUGCGACUAAUAAUCGCAAUUCAUGACGGUACCGAAAGAAGAAGCACCGGCUAACUACGUGCCAGCAGCCGCGGUAAUACGUAGGGUGCGAGCGUUAAUCGGAAUUACUGGGCGUAAAGGGUGCGCAGGCGGUUUUGUAAGUCAGAUGUGAAAUCCCCGGGCUUAACCUGGGUACU
This 423-nucleotide ribosomal RNA is filed under the name uncultured bacterium. RNAcentral describes it as "bacterial SSU rRNA". It matches the Rfam family "Bacterial small subunit ribosomal RNA", at positions 207 to 622 of the family's 1533-position model. The record is from RNAcentral.